This 473-nucleotide long non-coding RNA is filed under the name Ficedula albicollis (Collared flycatcher). Its description in RNAcentral is "lncRNA (ENSFALG00000025675.1)". The record is from RNAcentral. Lineage: Eukaryota; Metazoa; Chordata; Aves; Passeriformes; Muscicapidae.
AGAGGGGGACCUCAUCUCUGAACCAUGCUGGGUUAGGAGGUGGGAGCCAGCACUUUUCUUCCAGCAGAUUCCAUCCAACCUUGACCUCCACCAUCCAGAUCUGCAGGAGCUUUGGAGACUCAAGAGACAGAUGAGCACACAUGGAAGAGAGAUGCUUGGUGCAGAGUGAGCAGGAGUGAGGAUCUGUGUUCUGCCACUGCAUCCAGCUUGCUGCACAGCCCGAGGCCACAUGAAACAGUGAAGGAGAGGCUGAGCCUGCACACCCACACCAAAAUGCUUUUGACAUUUGGAGAUCUGCAGGAGUGGGUCACUAACUGGUGAGCUUGCUAUUGUCUACCAUGGCUGUUGCAAGACUCAAAGAGAGAGUAAGUGUGGCUAAAGGAAAGCAGGAUAACUCCUUCCUUUUCCAGAGGCUUCCCCUGGGGCUCAGUCCUUCACUCCUCUAAUUCUCUUUUGGACUUCAGCUCCUUCCC